Macaca mulatta (Rhesus monkey) is the source of this 67-nucleotide non-coding RNA. NCBI's taxonomy places the organism in Eukaryota, Metazoa, Chordata, Mammalia, Primates, Cercopithecidae. The record is from Rfam.
GGAAUAGAAGCUGGUAGGGUACAGACUUUGGUGUCUGAAUGCCUGGGUUCAAAUCCCAGCUCUUCUA